Molecule: ribosomal RNA, 233 nt
Filed under: uncultured Glomus
Lineage: Eukaryota; Fungi; Glomeromycota; Glomeromycetes; Glomerales; Glomeraceae
Description: partial 18S ribosomal RNA
Rfam family: Eukaryotic small subunit ribosomal RNA
Source: RNAcentral
GGACGGUAAGUCUGGUGCCAGCAGCCGCGGUAAUUCCAGCUCCAAUAGCGUAUAUUAAACUUGUUGCAGUUAAAAAGCUCGUAGUUGAAUUUCGGGGUUAGUAGGUUGGUCAUGCCUCUGGUAUGUACUGAUCUCACUGAUUCCUCCUUCCUUAUGAACCGUAAUGCCAUUAAUUUGGUGUUGCGGGGAAUUUGGACUGUUACUUUGAAAAAAUUAGAGUGUUUAAAGCAGGC